GUAACUUCGGGAGAAGGGGGACCUCUGCUGGUGAUGGGCUUUACGUUCUGAGCUGGUGGGGGUCGCAGUGGCCAGGGGGAAGCGACUGUUUACUAAAAACACAGGUCCGUGCGAAGUCGUAAGACGAUGUAUACGGACUGACGCCUGCCCGGUGCCGGAACGUUAAGGGGACCGCUUAGCCAGCUUCGGUUGGCGAAGGUGAGAACUUAAGCGCCGGUAAACGGCGGUGGUAACUAUAACCAUCCUAAGGUAGCGAAAUUCCUUGUCGGGUAAGUUCCGACCUGCACGAAUUGCGUAACGACUUCCCCGCUGUCUCAACCACAGACCCGGCGAAAUUGCACUACGAGUAAAGAUGCUCGUUUCGCGCAGCAGGACGGAAAGACCCCGGGACCUUCACUACAGCUUGACAUUGGCGUUUGGAACGUCUUGUGUAGGAUAGGUGGGAGACUAGGAAGCUGUCACGCUAGUGAUGGUGGAGUCAUUGGUGAAAUACCACUCUGGUCGUUUUGAACGUCUAACUCUGGUCCGUGAUCCGGAUCGGGGACAGUGUCUGGUGGGUAGUUUAACUGGGGCGGUUGCCUCCUAAAGAGUAACGGAGGCGCCCAAAGGUUCCCUCAGCCUGGUUGGCAAUCAGGUGUUGAGUGUAAGUGCACAAGGGAGCUUGACUGUGAGACUGACAGGUCGAGCAGGAGCGAAAGCUGGGACUAGUGAUCCGGCAUCGGCGUGUGGAAGCGGUGUCGCUCAACGGCUAAAAGGUACCCCGGGGAUAACAGGCUGAUCUUCCCCAAGAGUCCAUAUCGACGGGAUGGUUUGGCACCUCGAUGUCGGCUCGUCGCAUCCUGGGGCUGGAGUAGGUCCCAAGGGUUGGGCUGUUCGCCCAUUAAAGCGGUACGCGAGCUGGGUUUAGAACGUCGCGAGACAGUUCGGUCCCUAUCCGCUGCGCGCGCAGGAGACUUGAAGGGGGCUGUCCCUAGUACGAGAGGACCGGGACGGACGAACCUCUGGUGUGCCAGUUGUACCGCCAGGUGCACGGCUGGUUGGCUACGUUCGGAAGGGAUAACCGCUGAAAGCAUCUAAGCGGGAAGCUCGCCUUGAGAUGAGGUCUCCCACCCCGUGAGGGGGUAAGGCUCCCGGUAGAUCACCGGGUUGAUAGGCCGGAGGUGGAAGCACGGUAACGUGUGGAGCUGACCGGUACUAAUAGGCCGAGGACUUGACCAC
Molecule: ribosomal RNA, 1218 nt
Filed under: metagenome
Description: bacterial LSU rRNA
Rfam family: Bacterial large subunit ribosomal RNA
Source: RNAcentral